This 300-nucleotide ribosomal RNA is filed under the name uncultured bacterium. RNAcentral describes it as "bacterial SSU rRNA". It matches the Rfam family "Bacterial small subunit ribosomal RNA", at positions 399 to 691 of the family's 1533-position model. The record is from RNAcentral.
GCGUGUGUGAAGAAGGCCUGCGGGUUGUAAAGCACUUUCAGUCGAGAAGAAAAGCGGGGUGUUAAUACCGCCUCGUCUUGACGUAACCGACAGAAGAAGCACCGGCUAACUCUGUGCCAGCAGCCGCGGUAAUACAGAGGGUGCGAGCGUUAAUCGGAAUUACUGGGCGUAAAGCGUGUGUAGGUGGUUACUUGAGUCGGAUGUGAAAGCCCCGGGCUUAACCUGGGAAUUGCAUUCGAUACUGGGUAGCUAGAGUACGGUAGAGGGUAGCGGAAUUCCCGGUGUAGCGGUGAAAUGCGU